AUGGAUCCGAGGGCUCCAGCCAUCGGGUACUUAACACAACGCCGAGUAGUCGUACGUUUUGAAGAGGAACUUGGCGUCCGAAGGUGUACUUGGCGAAGAACGGUCAUCGUGGAAGUAGUGGUACUUAGGUGUUUCGUUCAGCACUCGUUUGGGCAUCCUUGGUCUUGCCAGCGGUGUGGGUCUCCUUGGGUCAAACAAGAUGUGCCAGACCAGAUUGGCGACGGGGACUUGAAGCAUGGUUCCUGCAGUGCUGGUAACGGCGAAGACGAGUGGAUCCUGGUCGGCCGGCGUUGGAUCCGGGCAAACGGUGGCACGAACGGAGCCCAGGGGCGGAGGGGCUUGAGCGCGGGACGGCGGCCUGGUGGCGUUGGCGCUCCUGCAACAGUUCACGUGAAGGAAGAGCGACGGGGAGGCAUGGGCGAGGAGGUGGACACCAGCAGUGGCAGCUCCGUGGCAGGUGGCCAGGGCCAUGGACGGCGAAGCAGCAUGGCGGCACGCUCGCGGCAGGCUUCUGCAGCCACAGAAGAGGACGAGGCAGGGGCGUCGAGCUCCCAGAGGUGGGAGCUGGUCAUGGUCGCCGGCGAUGGAGGCGGAGCAGAGGAGGCGGUCGAGGCCGGCGCUGGUCAGCACUGCGGCGGCGUCCUGCUGGUGGCCGGCGAUGUGGACAUGGGGCGGCGGAGUCGCAGGUGA
Molecule: ribosomal RNA, 690 nt
Filed under: Triticum aestivum (bread wheat)
Lineage: Eukaryota; Viridiplantae; Streptophyta; Magnoliopsida; Poales; Poaceae
Description: partial small subunit ribosomal RNA
Source: RNAcentral